Amazona collaria (yellow-billed parrot) is the source of this 164-nucleotide small nuclear RNA. Its record names the gene U1. It matches the Rfam family "U1 spliceosomal RNA". From Rfam's summary of the family: U1 is a small nuclear RNA (snRNA) component of the spliceosome (involved in pre-mRNA splicing). Its 5' end forms complementary base pairs with the 5' splice junction, thus defining the 5' donor site of an intron. There are significant differences in sequence and secondary structure between metazoan and yeast U1 snRNAs, the latter being much longer (568 nucleotides as compared to 164 nucleotides in human). The record is from Ensembl. Lineage: Eukaryota; Metazoa; Chordata; Aves; Psittaciformes; Psittacidae.
CCAGCUACCUGGCAGGGGAGACACCAUGAUCAGGCAGGUGGUUUUCCCAGGGCGAGGCUUCUCCCUUGCACUCCGGGUGUGCUGACCCCUGCGAUUUCCUCAAAUGCAGGAAACUUUACUGCACAAUUUGUGGUAAUGGGCGACUGUGUUCACACUCUCUCCUG